CGAAAGCCUGACGGAGCAACGCCGCGUGGGGGAGGAAGGCUCUUGGGUUGUAAACCCCUUUUCUCAGGGAAGAAGCUCUGACGGUACCUGAGGAAUCAGCCUCGGCUAACUCCGUGCCAGCAGCCGCGGUAAUACGGAGGAGGCAAGCGUUAUCCGGAAUUAUUGGGCGUAAAGCGUCCGCAGGUGGCCAUUUAAGUCUGCUGUCAAAGACCGGGGCUCAACUCCGGGUCGGCAGUGGAAACUGGAUGGCUAGAGUACGGUAGGGGUAGAGGGAAUUCCCGGUGUAGCGGUGAAAUGCGUAGAGAUCGGGAAGAACACCGGUGGCGAAAGCGCUCUACUGGGUCGCACCUGACCCUCAGGGACGAAAGCUAAGGUAGCG
RNAcentral lists this ribosomal RNA (379 nucleotides) under uncultured cyanobacterium. Its description in RNAcentral is "bacterial SSU rRNA". It matches the Rfam family "Bacterial small subunit ribosomal RNA", at positions 376 to 770 of the family's 1533-position model. Lineage: Bacteria; Bacillati; Cyanobacteriota. The record is from RNAcentral.